CAGCAGAAUGAUGAAGUAUUUCGUGGAGUUGUUAGUGUGCCGUCUUGGCUUUGUGCUUUCAAUGAUGACACGACUUGUCAUAGUUACUCUGACUGCUA
Molecule: small nucleolar RNA, 98 nt
Organism: Lineus longissimus
Lineage: Eukaryota; Metazoa; Nemertea; Pilidiophora; Heteronemertea; Lineidae
Product: small nucleolar RNA SNORD46
Exons: 1
Source: RefSeq, a predicted model, not a curated record